Molecule: non-coding RNA, 732 nt
Organism: Pelobates cultripes (western spadefoot toad)
Lineage: Eukaryota; Metazoa; Chordata; Amphibia; Anura; Pelobatidae
Source: the annotation of a GenBank genome assembly
GGGAAACCGUCGGUAACAGGGAACGAUACGGACACGGAUAAGAUAUAGUUCUACGAGACACUGUAGAAAUUAUUCUUUCCGGUGAUACCGAAAAGACCGUUUACGUCGAACUCCAGUACAUCUGAUACCCGACGAAAAGACCUAAAAGUAACGUGACUCUGGCUAAUGGCUGACUGAGGGAUAGGACCGUGAUAUCUGACUAGCUCCAAAAGAACCAAAUCAAAGUCCCACACCAGUGAUACUUUGACGCAUGGUUCUGGACGGUUUGAUACCCCACAGAAAAUGGCAUAUCAAAGGCUCUUAAUUGACCGGAGUGUCGUGAAUCGUGCUAUGCAUUGUCGAAAUCGCGGAACGUAGCCCGUUAAUGGAACGUUCCGAUCGGCCUGUAGUGAAAAGGUAUGAUAAAGAUCCAGCAUCGUGGAGAUAGGGGUAAUAAAGGGAUUGCAGUCCCUUCCCAUACACCAGCGAACUCAAGGUGUUCCAUGCGGAUAAGUUAUUUCGGGGAAAUACCUGGCGUCCAUGAGUCCCAUAGUAGGUCUCUAGUUGGUUGCGAUAGUCCCUUGACAUACCAGUCUCCCCUGGAAGACACCAAUCUACCAACUCCAGAUGCUCCUGCAUUCUCAAUGGAUGAUGUUCUCCUUUUGGAUCCGCCCGAAGGCAAGUUAAAACAGAAGGAGCAGAGGAUGAUCCUGAUUAAGGACAACCCUUCUGGGUGUCACGCUUGCCUCCUUU